UCCAUCCUUUUGGACACUUGGUAAUUAAAAGCUGCUAUCAAAUCCCACCCCCCUCUUCUCUUCUGUAGUCUAAAUUAUCCUCCCUCUCUCUGACUUCCGUGACUGGUGUCUUUUUGUCUUUAUUUGAGAUAACUCUGAUAGGGCAGGGAUGUAAUGUUUAUAUCCACCUGCAAAGCAUCAGGCGCAUCUCUGGCUCUCCAGAAAGAAUUACUGCUCUGGCCUCUGAACCAGGGGUAGUUUGGUGUCUGUUUCCAUAUGUGUCUCAAAAGAAGGCUAGAGAUUUUGGCAGACUCUUUUUACAAAGUGGUCUUUUCUCCACAAAUAGCAAAUCUGAGGCCACAAAUUCAUUUUGGGUAGACUACCAAAGAACAGACACCUGAUAAAACACCUGAGGUACAUCUAAGCUGGUGUCCUAGGGUGCAUCUACAUGACACCAUUUUUCUGGAAUAACAGCUGUUAUUCUGGAAAAACAAUACUAGCAUCCACACUGCAGUUGCGUGAUUUUGAAAGAAUGUUGAAAUAACGGACAGCUCCUUCGGACGCCGGUAAACCUCCUUCCACAAGGAAUAAGGCCUCUUCCGAAAAAACGUAUGGAAGAGGAUGUAUGUGGAUGCGGAAUAGGGAGUUUUGUCAAAGAAAGAGGCCUUCAGGAAAUCCCACAGGUGCCCUCCUGGCCUCUCCAUCCACAUUCAUCAGAAUGCUAUAGUAUGUAUUCCCUUGGAGCUGCAGACACAGGGGACAGGACUUAUGGCAGGAAGCCGGCCCUCAAAGCCCCCAGCCAUAGCGCAGCUCACAGUACCACAUAUCUGGGCACCAUGUCCAAGCCAAAAGCUCCCCAAAAAUCUCCUGCCCAUCACAGUGAUCAUGCAGAGGGCUCCCAGGAGCCUGCCAGGGGCUGCAAAAGGUGUACACCAUCCUGGUCUGGGGUGGAGAUCCUGGCCCGCCUGGAAGUGUGGGGAAAGGAGGAGAACUUCCAAGAUCACUGCUCCAGAUGGGACAACACCGAUAUAUACGGCCAGAUGGCCAAGAGCCGGGCCACAUUAGAAACCUGGAGCAGGUUCGUAGUAAAGCGAAGGAGCUCUGCGAGGCCUAUGCCAGGGUAAGGGAGCAUAGCUCAUGUUCUGGGGCAGGACCCCACUCCUGCCCCUAUUAUGACGCAUCCUGGGGGGGAGGGGUCAGCCCCUUUGCUACCCCUUAGUGGUGGACUCGGGACUAGAAACACCCUUCCUAGCCUGCCCGGGAGUCCCAGCCCACGAGGAGGAGGACGGGGAGGUGGCCACGGUGAGCACCGUGACCACACUUCCUUUGGAGCCAGUACUCCAUAGCCUGGAUGUGUCCCAGGCAUCCUCCAAGGCAGGGGAAGGAUCAUCAGGUGAGUGGUCUCAGUUUUCUCUCUCUCACAGGGCGGGAGUGCAAUCCUCUCUUGGCCUGGCCCUCGCGCUGCAGUCCGUGCAUGUGGAUGCACGUGCAGCACCAGUCUGCGCCACGCAGCCCCAGGAGGCAACACUGGAGCAUCCCUGGACUCCUGCUCGCAGGCUCUGGGGAGGCCGCCCACACGUCUGACCCCCUGGGGUGGCGGUGCCCUCCCACCACCAGCCACUGCUGGAAAGAGGCUGGGGACAAGGGCACACGCAGGCACUCACACACACUCUGGAGUGCCCCAUACGGGCAUGCAUGCUCAAGGCAACACCUGCUCCCUGGGACAGUGCUGCCAGGUGCCAGUGUGUGUGCAGCAGAGGUGGAAGCCCAGGCAGCUUGAGGUCUCUCUCCUGGCCAUUGGAUCCAGUUUGGCCAGCCAUUUCCCUUGCCUGCUUGUCUGUGGGACAUGGGGUGAGGUGGGAAGCAUGGUCCCCUGGGGACCCCUGCACCUCUGUAAGGCAGGGCCCACUGUCCAGGCCACACAUAGCCUUGCUCCCAGGACAUCACCGUCCUGUGACUCGAGAACUGUUGCUCUCAGCUCACAAGAUGAAGGCAAGGCUGCAGGGACAGUGUCUCCAGGGAUGACUGACCAUCCUUCUUUAUUGUCCCCAGCUCGACCAGCCGUGACUGUGGGGUGAUCGACACCACCCGAGCCAGCCGCCUGACCCCGGGAAAGCCGCACGCACCGGAGGCUCCAGGGGAACCUCAAGAGGGAGUAUGAGGCGGGUAGAUAAACCAACCGAACGAUGAAGGUGCCAAUGGUUCUUGAUGUCUGUGUAGAAUCUGGUUUACAGGAUCUUUCGAAAAAGGGUUCAUUUUUCAUCUAGUGUGGAGACCAUCAACCCUAGGACAGAGGGCCCUGACCAGGGCACGGAGGAGGAGGAGAGCCAGGAGCCGCAGGAGCCCUGAGGGAGCAUGCUGCACAUCCAGGACUUCCGAGUCAUUCCAGCGGACCUGUCGCCGACGUCAUCCGGGGAGGCAACAACAUUCGCACCAGCUGCAAGGGCAGGGCGCACCACACCACCCAGGACAUCCUCCUGCACCCAAGGACUGCGCAGGACCACCCGUG
Non-coding RNA from Pelodiscus sinensis (Chinese soft-shelled turtle), 2488 nucleotides. NCBI's taxonomy places the organism in Eukaryota, Metazoa, Chordata, Testudines, Trionychidae. The record is from RefSeq and is a predicted model, not a curated record.